Molecule: ribosomal RNA, 253 nt
Filed under: uncultured bacterium
Lineage: Bacteria
Description: partial 16S ribosomal RNA
Rfam family: Archaeal small subunit ribosomal RNA
Source: RNAcentral
UACCAGCACCCCGAGUGGUCGGGACGAUUAUUGGGCCUAAAGCAUCCGUAGCCGGCCUUACAAGUCCCCCGUUAAAUCCAACUGCUUAACAGAUGGGCUGCGGAGGAUACUAUAAGACUAGGAGGCAGGAGAGGCAAGCGGUACUCAGUGGGUAGGGGUAAAAUCCGUUGAUCCAUUGAAGACCACCAGUGGCGAAGGCGGCUUGCCAGAAUGCGCUCGACGGUGAGGGAUGAAAGCUGGGGGAGCAACCGGG